This 928-nucleotide unclassified non-coding RNA is filed under the name Bradyrhizobium sp. m2d. RNAcentral describes it as "partial contains 16S ribosomal RNA, 16S-23S ribosomal RNA intergenic spacer and 23S ribosomal RNA". The stretch from base 806 to 928 matches the Rfam family "Bacterial large subunit ribosomal RNA", at positions 1 to 125 of the family's 2925-position model. Lineage: Bacteria; Pseudomonadati; Pseudomonadota; Alphaproteobacteria; Hyphomicrobiales; Nitrobacteraceae. The record is from RNAcentral.
UUGCGGCUGGAANACCUCCUUUCUAAGGAUGGUUCUUCAGAAGCUUGCUUCUAUCGAACCGUUUUAGAAGCAUCAGUGGCCAACGAUCGUCAGGAUUGUUGAGCUGCAUUGGCGGGAUUUCGCCGUCUUCGUUUCUCUUUCUUCGCGGACGAACACGCGCUGGGCCUGCGUGAGCAGGGUCCCUGGUCCUUGACGGGAUAUGCGUUAGGGGCUUGUAGCUCAGUUGGUUAGAGCGCGCGCUUGAUAAGCGUGAGGUCGGAAGUUCAAGUCUUCCCAGGCCCACCACACUCAUCGAGUGAGCAUUCGUCUUCUGGUUACGGGGCCAUAGCUCAGCUGGGAGAGCGCGUGCUUUGCAAGCAUGAGGUCGUCGGUUCGAUCCCGUCUGGCUCCACCAGAUGGUUUGAUCAUCGACUGAUCGUGCACCUGAAUCGUCCGCGAAACAUCACUUCGCACUUACUAGUCCGGAUGGACAGUAAGCUGCGUGAUUUCUGACAUCGUAAAGAGGAGAUCGAUCCGAGUUGGAUCGGGCAACAAGCAAUUGUUGCGCGAUACUUCAUUAUCUCCGGAUCAUUUCGGCGCUCGUGCGCCUUUCAAUGUAGCUCACAAGGCUGCGUCUGAAAGGAAUGCGAGUUGUAAAUGAUCCUUUUAGCGAAGCUUGACCGCCUCGCUAUCGGAACGAUCUUACGAAGCAAGCUGGUCUUUCUAAUCAUUGUCCGGCUGCAGAUAGCGUUCAUCGAGGGCGCGUGCCGCAAGGUAAUUCUGCAGACAACAUUCUGCCGAGUGUGUGGACAUUGAUAAUGAGAGCAAUCAAGUGCCUUAAGGGUGUUCGGUGGAUGCCUUGGCGCUGAGAGGCGAUGAAGGACGUGCUACGCUGCGAUAAGCCGUGGGGAGCUGCGAAAAGCUUUGAUCCAUGGAUUUCAAGGGGGGG